AAAGGGAACACGGUGAGACCUGCUUCGGGUCGAGGCCGUGGCUGCCCCCGCAACUGUGAGCGGCGAGCUCCAUCCGAAACGCCACUGGCCGGCAAGGCUGGGAAGGCGGAUGGCGCGACGACCCGCGAGCCAGGAGACCUGCCAUCGACACGAGU
This 155-nucleotide unclassified non-coding RNA is filed under the name Mesorhizobium plurifarium. The record is from RNAcentral. Lineage: Bacteria; Pseudomonadati; Pseudomonadota; Alphaproteobacteria; Hyphomicrobiales; Phyllobacteriaceae.